AGUGUUCGAUCAGAAAGGUCUUCGCAGUCGUUGAGAGUGGUACUGUUUUUAGAGUCUCUGGCAAAGUCCUAAAGUGUAGUCACUUAAAAAAAAAAUAAGUACAAGUCAGUAAAUUCCAUUUAUGAAGUGCACUAAGUUGUUAGCUGAUAGUGGAAGCUGAAAGUUGUUACAAUUGAUCGUUUUUCGGUUCGAACACUGCAGUGCGAGAGUCCUAAAGCAGUACCAAAUGAGACAGUGAUGCACCUUUCCGACCAUCCGACCAUCGGGGCUUGCUCUCAAUCGGCUGGAUGUCGUCUGGAAACUGAAACCUAAUCUUGAUUUUGCUUUCAGAUAGAACUCUCGCCGCAGAGUUCUGAAGGGGGCGUACCUAGAGAAGCGUCACCAAGAGUUAUCACAAUCCUUGUUGUGAGAAAGAAAAGUACCGAAAGCAUAAUGAAUGCAAAAUCCCCGGUGUGGGUUUGGAGAAGAUCUUCAUCGGCUUCAUCCGUGUCCGAUCGUCCGAGGCGAGAGGGUGUACUCGAGAAUACUAGAUCAAUAUGAAAGCGAGCGAGCGAGCGAGCGAACGAGCGUGAGAAAGAGAGAGAAUGACAGGCUGCCUUCGAGCUGCUGCUGCUAGCGCUGUUUGCGUCGAGCUGGUGUUUUCCGAUGCCGAGUUGUGACAAUGCUACUGGCCAACUGCCCCCUUUCGGAAGGACCUACCCGUCUUCCGUCGUGCGUGCAGCGUCGUACACGUCACACCAACACGGAUCCACGAGCGAAACCCAAGUUCUCAUCAAGCGAGCAUGCUGAAACGAACUAGGCAGCAAGCGGCGACAGCGUCAAGGCAACGCGCUCAACUUCGAUCGAAUCGAAAGUCUGAAAAGGAGCGUAGUAGUAGAAGCACUGUGCUUAUGCGCUUUUUAGUGAGUACGUGACAGCAUGCAUUUCCUUAGAUUUGUCUGUUUUCCAUUGCGAUUGUGUGACGGUGGAAGGUGGCUUUCGGUGGGGAUCUAACCCCCCGGAGCACGUUUUUUCUCCUAACCAGAUUUUGUAUUUUUCAUGAACGAAAAAAAAAAAAAACCUAAAAUGGCCACGCGGAAGAGCGAGCAGAAAGCCCCCGCGACGCUUCAGAAGCCAAGGCACAACAUACAUACACACAACAUCGCUUAUGCAACACGCAUGAAAUUUUCGUUUUCAACAAUGCACUUUCAACAGAGCGCGCAGAGAACAAGAAAAAUGGGUUUAGGUGAAGUGAAACGUAGGAAAGACAGGCAGAGAGAGAGAGAAGCCCAAACGAGGUCACCUUGGAGAGAAAUCAAAAGCUUGAAAGCAGCAAUCGAAACCGAAAUGUGCAUAGCGGUAACUAGUGCUGAUUUUUUUCUAUUUGCAACCAGAUUUUUUGGAAUUUCUAGAAGCGAAUGAGCAGGUUAUAUGUAGGAUGAAAGAGAGAGAGAGAGGGAGAGAAGGAGUACGGGGCUCAGAUAAUAGAGAAACAGAGAGGACAAAAAAAAUGGAGUGCACAGUUGCGUUGUUCCAAUGGCUCAUCCCCACACAUCUAAGUAGGCGACGAGCUGAACGUGUCUAGACGUGCACUGCUCGGACAGGUCGUCAAGAGAAAGACACAGGAAGAGAAAUUUAUUUUCAUUUUGUACCCAGAAAAGAUGAUCGAGGUAAAGUGCACACACAUUUACACUUCAACGCACGCAUUUAUUUUCUUGCAGAGUUGGAAACUGUUCAAAGCAAGUUUAGCUGGCAGCUAGUGAGUUAGUGCGAUCAUUUACGGUAUCCCUCACCAACGGUUCGAGAAGGCGAAAACCAGUGUGUAACAUACUAGAAAAAAAAUAAUAAUAUGAAAGUUAAAGCCCCGUCUCCGCUAGGCUUGAUCGAUUACAGGCUCCGUCCUGUUUUAACGCCAAAAACCAGAUUUUUUUUUAUUAUUUGCAGCGAGUAGCUAGGCUUCCACUGUUCUAUCUUCUUCCAUCUGUUCUACGUAGCAACCUAACCUCGGAAGACCCCCCUCACCGGUGAAGACCCAUCAAAAAAAACGGCGGUAAACAAACACAAAUCGACUAGCAAAACCUCGAGUUUUCAUAUUAUUGCAGAACACCCAAACACGGUCCGGCUGUGAGCCGAGUUUCUCUGUUUAUUGUUUCUGUUCCUUUUGUGUUUUACUCCCUACAUACUCUGGGACACGGACGCGAGCGAGACGUGCGACACGGCCCAAUCGAAUCCGAUCGAUUCUCUCCCCGGUCCGGCCAUCUUGGUCGAGUUUCUCUGUUUCUUCUUCUUGCAUUAUUUCAUCCAUCUCUCUACCAUACAACCUGUGGACGCCACCGGCAUCGAACCGCCCGGAGUUCCCCGGAUCAUGACGUAACGCUUCCGUGAACGUGAAGGGACUUGCACACACGAGCUCGGUAAACGAUACAAUACUACCCUUCGCAAAACCCGAGUUUUCGUCUUUACAGCAACACCCGAUGAGCUUUGGUCCGGCUGUCCCGCGAUGGAAGCCGAGUUUCUAUGUCUAUCGUUUUGUUUUGCUUUUUUUCUCUGAUACUAUCCACCCUCGUGAGAGACAGAGAACGACGAACGGGACACGGUUUUAUAACUGGACGCGAUCGGAAGACGGAAGCAAAACCCGGAAGAGACCCCCGACGUCUAGCCCCGGCCUUUCUUUCACAACUUCGGUCCGGCUCUCAUAACCAGCCGAGUUUCUGUGUUUUUCUUUUGUUUUUCUGUUCUUUUUUGACACUCUCUGCAAACAUAACCUCGUCAUGCACCCCCACCACCACAACAACAACAACAGCAAAAAAUCCCCAUUCGGAAAGAGAGGGACAGGGAGAGACAAGAGCAAAGGAAGAUAGCGAGAGAAAGAGGGAACACAGACAGACCGAGAAUCAGAGCUAAAAUAGACACAAAUAGGACUCGUAUAUCAGCAGCGCUCAGCGUUCGCUAUGACGCAGUAGUGUUUGAGACACGGCGGAAUUUGCGGUAACCUUGACAACAGAUAUCUUCGCAACCAGAAUCUCCGUUUUCUUUUGCAGUUGUGCCCAACGAGUCGUCGUCUUAUGAGUGAGUGUAUAUUCGGGGGCAGGUAUAUGAUUUCUAAUUUAGAAAGAGGAAACCAUCGACUCAACAUUAGAAGCGCGACAUUCAUCAGGGAAAGCACGGCCAUACAACCGUAAGCACAUUGAUUUUAGUUAGAACAACCAGAGUUUGAGAUAUUUGCAGAACAAAAAAGAUAUGGCGAAUUUUUCGACCAACUGGUCUAGCAUCUAGAAUUGGAGCAACCAGAUACAUAUUUGACACGAUAACAUCGCAGUUAUACGCAUUGAAGCGUGGUUCCGCAUCCAUUGAACGUAAGCAAAAUGCAUUUUUUCCCCAACAACCAGAAUUUUCGUACUUGCAGCUCUGAAUACGCGAAUUUGCGUUGGAAAUAUCAGUAGGCCUUGCCGCAGAAAUUGCGCAGUUGCCAAGCAACACACAAUGGGAAUCGAAUUGAUAGGGCAGCAUCCGUCUUCUUCUACCUCUUCUUGAUUGCGGUAAUCCAGAGUUGAAAUUUUCCCCCUCGACAACCAGAGUUUUACUCUUUUGCAGAGAAUCUAAACAAAUGACAGCAAAACCGACCGGACACCGUGUGGCGUUUUCCGAAAUUGUACCUUGUUUUGAUCUGUGCGUGUGCGUGUUAGGCAUUUUUGCGGUUAUCUUUCCAAUCAUCCAGCUUCUUCUGACCAACAUAUACUUCAGUGUGCGUGCUUAUGCGGGAUAUCAUACCUUGAAACUAGUGACAGCGAAGGAAGCCCCAAAGUUGGGACCGCAUGUGGUGGUAGCUAUGCUAAUUUGUUUUACUCUAUUUAUGUAUCUUUUUUUUAUCUAAUUUAUAUACCCUAAACAAAAAUCUAAUAAUUCACUAGUAGUGCGUUUAGCGAUUUAUGGUAGUGUUAACCGUUUUUUCUUGGCUUACGCCAUCACGGGAAAACGGGGUUUUGUUUAAGGAUUAAACACAUAAUUUAUCUUUUACAGAAAAGAA
Ochlerotatus camptorhynchus is the source of this 4006-nucleotide long non-coding RNA. RefSeq lists it as uncharacterized. The record is from RefSeq and is a predicted model, not a curated record. Lineage: Eukaryota; Metazoa; Arthropoda; Insecta; Diptera; Culicidae. The transcript has 3 exons.